ACCUGCUGAACUUAAGCAUAUCAGUAAGCAGAGGAAAAGAAACUAACUAGGAUUGCCUUAGUAACGGCGAGUGAAA
Molecule: ribosomal RNA, 76 nt
Filed under: Steinernema riobrave
Lineage: Eukaryota; Metazoa; Nematoda; Chromadorea; Rhabditida; Steinernematidae
Description: partial 28S ribosomal RNA
Rfam family: Eukaryotic large subunit ribosomal RNA
Source: RNAcentral